RNAcentral lists this unclassified non-coding RNA (1494 nucleotides) under Sitophilus oryzae (rice weevil). RNAcentral describes it as "sAGA-associated factor 29, transcript variant X1". Lineage: Eukaryota; Metazoa; Arthropoda; Insecta; Coleoptera; Curculionidae. The record is from RNAcentral.
UAUUCUAUGGCGAGAUGUGUCCACGUGACAGAGCAAGUGACAGUGGUGACAGAUGACAGAUUGCAUUAUUUGGUUAUAUUUGUUGAUUGUUGACAAAUUGUUGAUAACUUUAUAAAAUUAAUCUGUAAAUAAUAACUUUGUUGAUUCAUUCCAUAGAGUCAAUCAUCCAUUAAUUUUUGUUUUUAUAUGUAAUGUUUUAUAAUUCAAUUACCCUAACCAUAUCUCCAAGAAUUCUUACUAAUUUAGCCCUCUUCCUCUUGGUUUUGGUUGCCUGGUUUUCUGUAGUUAGUUUAAACAAAUAUCUUAAAUAUAAUAACAAGAAAAGCUAAGGAAACAUGCCAUUUACAGCUGACUCGGUAGCAGUUCAGCAGGUACAAGAAAGACUAGAGUCUCUUUACAGCCUUAUUCAUGACAUUGAAAAGAAAAGGGCUCAAUGUGAGCAAGGUCUUAAUACUUUACAAAGAAAUAGCAUUGAGGAUAAGGGCCCAAAUACACAGAAGUCCAGAAGCCUUAUUAAGAAUGUUAUGGCUCAAACUGAUGCUGAAAGAGAAGUUAUCCAGAAAGCAUUACAAAAGAUUUAUGAGAUUCGGAAUAUUAUAAAUGAAAGGCGAAUUCAGGCUCGUACUUCAGCUGCUAAGAAAGAAUCUAUUCGCAGAGGAACUUGGAUGAAAAUGCUGUUAAGUUCUGCACAGACACUUCCACUUUUUAUUGGAAAAGUAGGGGAAAAAGCCCCACCACUUUGUGGAGCAGUGCCUGCUGAGAGAAAUUAUAUUGCAAAAGUGGGCGAUACAGUAGUUGCUUUUGCAAAACUAGUAGAGAAAGAGAACUGGAUUUUGGCUGAAGUGGUUAGUUACAAUCCUAACACAGCCAAGUAUGAGGUAGAUGAUAUUUUACGAGAGCAGAACCAAAAAGGGAGGCAUACCUUGAGUAAAAGCAGAGUGAUCCCACUUCCUCUUAUGAGAGCCAAUCCAGAAAUUAAUCCUGAAGCACUUUUUCCUCAAGGCAAAUUAGUGUUGGCACUGUUUCCUCAGACUACCUGUUUCUAUCAAGCGAUCGUCAACAAGCCUCCAGCUACUCACACUGAUGGAUACGAAGUAUUAUUUGAAGAUCCCAGUUAUCCAGAGGGCUACAGUCCGCCGUGUACGGUGGCCCAGCGUUACAUAGUAGCUUGCAAGCAUAAAAUGAAGGUCAGCGCUAGUGCGGCGAGCACUUCACAAGCCGGCAGUAGCGACAGCGAAUCGUAACAAGACUUAUUUUUCGUUGAAAUAUCGGGAAUUCAAUUGAAAAACGACGUCAAGAUCAUCAAAAUUGACGUCGAAAGCCGAAAUUAAAUCUUAUUUUCUUAUAAUUUUAAUAGCAAAUUAGAUAUACAAAAUUACUUUAAAUACUCUUUUAAGUUUAAACUUAUUUUACUGGUAAUUUAGAUUUAAAAAUUCAACAGUUUACUGUGUGGAAUGUCAUGUACCGAAUAUAUUUUUGUGUUUAAUGUAAAGA